AAACGGCGGCUAAUACCCUGUAUGCCGAGAGGUGAAAUGAAUUUCGCCUGAGGAUUAGCUCGCGUCUGAUUAGCUAGUUGGUGUGGUAAAGGCUCUCCAAUGCUUCGAUCAGUAGCUGGUCUGAGAGGAUGAUCAGCCACACUGGGACUGAAACACGGCCUAGACUCCUACGGGAGGCAGCAGUGCGUAAUUUUCCGCAAUGGGCGCAAGCCUGACAGAACAACGCCGCGUGAGGUAUGAACGCCUCUGGGCUGUAAACCUCUUUUAUCAAUGAAGAAGAUCUGACGGUUCUUGAUGAAUCAGCCACGGCUAAUUCCGUGCCAGCAGCCGCGGUAAUACGGGAGUGGCAAGCGUUAUCCGGAAUUAUUGGGCGUAAAGCGUCCGCAGGCGGUUUUACAAGUCUGUCGUUAAAACGUGGAGCUCAACUCCAUUUCGGCGAUGGAAACUGUAAGACUAGAGUGUGGUAGGGGCAGAGGGAAUUCCCGGUGUAGCGGUGAAAUGCGUAGAUAUCGGGAAGAACACCAUUGGAGAAGGCGCUCUGCUGGGCCAUAAUUUCGCUC
Molecule: ribosomal RNA, 560 nt
Filed under: Synechococcus sp. BAC 0103
Lineage: Bacteria; Bacillati; Cyanobacteriota; Cyanophyceae; Synechococcales; Synechococcaceae
Description: bacterial SSU rRNA
Rfam family: Bacterial small subunit ribosomal RNA
Source: RNAcentral